UGCAGUCGAACGAAGUAGCAAUACUUAGUGGCAGACGGGUGAGUAACAUGUAGGUAUCUACCCUUUGGCCUGGAAUAACACGAGGAAACUUGUGCUAAUACCGGAUAAGUCUUUACGGGGAAAGCUUUAUGCACCAUUGGAUGAGCCCGCACUUGAUUAGUUUGUUGGUAGGGUAAUGGCCUACCAAGACUAUGAUCAAUAGCUGAUUUGAGAGGAUGAUCAGCCACAUUGGGACUGAGACACGGCCCAAACUCCUACGGGAGGCAGCAGUGGGGAAUCUUGCACAAUGGAGGAAACUCUGAUGCAGCGAUGCCGCGUGAGUGAAGAAGGCCCUUGGGUUGUAAAGCUCUUUCGUCGGGGAAGAAAAUGACCGUACCCGAAUAAGAAGGUCCGGCUAACUUCGUGCCAGCAGCCGCGGUAAUACGAAGGGACCUAGCGUAGUUCGGAAUUACUGGGCUUAAAGAGUUCGUAGGUGGUUGAAAUAGUUGGUGGUGAAAUCCCAGAGCUUAACUCUGGAACUGCCAUCAAAACUUUUCAGCUAGAGUAUGAUAGAGGAAAGCAGAAUUUCUAGUGUAGAGGUGAA
RNAcentral lists this ribosomal RNA (583 nucleotides) under uncultured bacterium. Its description in RNAcentral is "bacterial SSU rRNA". It matches the Rfam family "Bacterial small subunit ribosomal RNA", at positions 56 to 685 of the family's 1533-position model. The record is from RNAcentral.